ACGAACGCUGGCGGCGUGCUUAACACCUGCAAGUCGAACGGAAAGGCCCCUUUGGGGGUACUCGAGUGGCUAACGGGUGAGUAACACGUGAGUAACCUGCCCUUGACUUCGGGAUAACUUCAGGAAACUGGGGCUAAUACCGGAUAGGAAUCCUUGCUGCAUGGUGGGGGUUGGAAAGCUUCGGCGGUUUUGGAUGGACUCGCGGCUUAUCAGCUUGUUGGUGGGGUAGUGGCUUACCAAGGCUUUGACGGGUAGCCGGCCUGAGAGGGCGACCGGCCACAUUGGGACUGAGAUACGGCCCAGACUGCUACGGGAGGCAGCAGUGGGGAAGAUUGCAAAAUGGGCGGAAGCCUGAUGCAGCAACGCCGCGGGCGGGAUGACGGCCUUCGGGUUGUAAACCGCUUUCAGCAGGGGCGAAGCUUGUGGUGACGGUACCUGCAGAAGAAGCACCGGCUAACUACGUG
RNAcentral lists this ribosomal RNA (464 nucleotides) under uncultured bacterium. Its description in RNAcentral is "partial 16S ribosomal RNA". It matches the Rfam family "Bacterial small subunit ribosomal RNA", at positions 29 to 507 of the family's 1533-position model. The record is from RNAcentral.